ACAACCAGCUGAUGAGCUGAGAUUUGUCUAACACAUAUCCAACGUUAGCGGUAACUCAUCUUAAUUUCAGCCAUACACUUGUACGCCGGUGCCGGUGACCAUCCAAUGUCAACACUAACACCGGGCAAUUUAUCUCCCUUUUCUCCGAAAUCCUCCCCAAAUCAUGUCAAAUUUAGGAGGAAUUAUAAGGUUUGCUCAAAUGGGUUCCCUUCAUUUCUUCCCAAAGAAGUCGAGAAUAUCAAAGAUUCAUUUGCCCGGAAUUUGGCUCAGAGAAUUGAGAGGCUCCCCGUUCAGUUGACAUCUUCGGGGACUUCUGUCAUGAGUAGUUGUGUAAGGCCUAUGAUGCAACGAAAGGAGGCUGAUCCUAUUUUUCUCCUGCAUGGAUUUGAUAGUUCUUGUUUAGAAUGGCGAUACACAUACCCAUUGCUUGAGGAGGCUGGCUUGGAGAGCUGGGCCUUUGAUGUCCUUGGUUGGGGGUUUUCUGAUUUAGAAAGGCUUCCACAGUGUGAUGUAGCAUCCAAGCGCGAACAUUUGUACCAGUUCUGGAAAUCCUACAUUAAAAGACCAAUGAUACUUGUUGGACCAAGUCUUGGGGCUGCUGUUGCAAUUGAUUUUGCAGUUAACCAUCCAGAAACAGUCAGCAAACUGAUUUUGAUUGAUGCAAGUGUAUACACAGAAGGUACAGGCGACAUGGCCAAACUGCCCCGUCUAUUUGCUUAUGCUGGUGUUGCUUUACUGAAAAGUGUUCCCCUACGACUCUAUGUAAAUCGUAUAGCCUUCAAUGACGUAUCCUUCAGUACCAGUUUGGACUGGAUGAAUAUCGGUCGUUUGCAUUGCCUUUUUCCUUGGUGGGAGGAUGCAACUGUUGCUUUCAUGAGAAGUGGAGGUUAUAUAGUUGUUCCCCUAAUAAAGCAGGGAAAAUAGGGGUAGACCAAUGGCUCAAAUCUGGCUUAAGCUGAAUAGAGUUAAACACAAGUUGAAGACAUUACAUAAGGAGGAGUUUUCUCACACUGUGGAGAAAAUUGAGUAUUACAGAAGUGAGUUAGACAAUUUGCAGACUCAGAUGAGGAGUGAUAGUAGUCCUCACUUGCUCAUUGCUGAAAAAGAGCUCAUUUGCAAUCUCAGAAAGUGGAUGGCUAUUGAAGAACAAGCUCUUAAGCAGAAGUCUAGGGUUCAGUGGGUUAAGGUGGGAGAUUCUAACCACCAGUUCUUCUGCAAUGAAAGAGAGAGAUAUUGUAUUAAUAAAGUGCAUCUGCUACAUGGAGAUGGGGGAAUGGAGAUCACUGAGCCUGUUGAGAUUCUGUCCAUGAUCAUUGACUUCUACAAACAGCACCUGGGUUCAGCUCUUCUCUGCCUGGCUUGGAUGUGCCCACUAUCAGAAAUGGAAAUGGCUUAUCUUCUGAAGCUAGAUCUUUGCUAUGCUUGCCUGUUACUGUAGAUGAGAUUGAUGAUGCACUGGCUAGCAUUGACUCCUCCAAAGCCCCAGGUAAAGCAGCAGACGCUUAUAAUAUGGGGUGAGGAUGACCAGAUAAUCAGCUACAAGCUAGGAUUGGAAUUGCACGGGGAGCUGGAAGAUGCAAAAUUCCGUCAAAUACCAGAUUGUGGGCACAUCCCGCAUGUAGAAAAACCAAGUUUAGUUGCUGACUUGAUUAUCAAAUUUGCUCAACAGAAGUGUAGUAAAUUGUCAAGAGUAUGAUUUUAUAUGGUCAUGAUUCUGAA
Spinacia oleracea (spinach) is the source of this 1719-nucleotide RNA transcript. It is a transcript of the gene named alpha/beta hydrolase domain-containing protein VTE7, with no coding region annotated. The record is from RefSeq and is a predicted model, not a curated record. The transcript has 11 exons. NCBI's taxonomy places the organism in Eukaryota, Viridiplantae, Streptophyta, Magnoliopsida, Caryophyllales, Amaranthaceae.